AUGCAUGUAUGUAUAUAUAUAUAUAUAUAUUUCACGGUGGGUGAAAAGUAAGAAGGCAUCAAAAAUUGGUAAUAAAACCCAUAUUCCUUCUACAAAUUUAUUGAAACAAAUGAUACAUGUUCUUUAUUACAUGGGAAAAUGGAAGUAAAUCUUCAUUUUUCAACUUAAGCUCUGGUGGCAUCAACCAGUUUCUUCAAAC
This is a long non-coding RNA of Octopus sinensis (East Asian common octopus), 199 nucleotides long. RefSeq lists it as uncharacterized. The transcript has 3 exons. The record is from RefSeq and is a predicted model, not a curated record. Lineage: Eukaryota; Metazoa; Mollusca; Cephalopoda; Octopoda; Octopodidae.